Molecule: ribosomal RNA, 310 nt
Filed under: uncultured bacterium
Lineage: Bacteria
Description: partial 16S ribosomal RNA
Rfam family: Bacterial small subunit ribosomal RNA
Source: RNAcentral
AAGAGACAGCAGUAGCCACGGGAAUACAGAGGGUGCGAGCGUUAAUCGGAUUUACUGGGCGUAAAGCGUGCGUAGGCGGCUUCUUAAGUCGGAUGUGAAAUCCCUGAGCUUAACUUAGGAAUUGCAUUCGAUACUGGGAAGCUAGAGUAUGGGAGAGGAUGGUAGAAUUCCAGGUGUAGCGGUGAAAUGCGUAGAGAUCUGGAGGAAUACCGAUGGCGAAGGCAGCCAUCUGGCCUAAUACUGACGCUGAGGUACGAAAGCAUGGGGAGCAAACAGGAUUAGAUACCCGAGUAGUCCCUGUCUCUUAUAC